Lolium perenne is the source of this 1281-nucleotide non-coding RNA. The record is from RefSeq and is a predicted model, not a curated record. NCBI's taxonomy places the organism in Eukaryota, Viridiplantae, Streptophyta, Magnoliopsida, Poales, Poaceae.
GGUUGUUGUUUCCCAUGUCGUCGUCGUCCGGUCCAGCUGAAUCUCGGAGUGGCCACGCGAAUCACAAGGAGAGGAGGGGGACGGCCUAGCCACGACCACUAGUCCAAUCUCGAGAUCCAGCGAGGCGAUGUUGAUGCGCAGCAGAAGGUAGUAACACGGAAGCUUGCAAAGUACGGAAGAUGAUAGCCAUUGCGGACGGUUCGGACGGGACUGAUUGAUGAGUUGCAGUACCUGACCACACCUGACCGACCGAUGUGAGAUAGUUUCGGCGAACCAACGAUGCAGCGAGCAUCAAGCGCCGAUGCUCCUGGCAGUCCCCUUUCAGCGGCAGGCCCCAAUCCAUGGAGGGCUUCACCGUCGACCCAACCUCGACUCCUCACCGGUCCAGGAUGAUGGCCAGGUAAGUCUGAUCUCCAGCUCCAGGGGGAUGCCCCAUACCUUGUUGUGUUGUGCUCCUCACGGUAAAAGCCAUCAUCAACACUUAAAUGAAGAGAUACUGAAGAAAUGUCCACUCGUGAGUAUGUUGGGUUUAGUCUUGUGUAAAGAAUUAAUAAAACUAAUUUCUCUAUCUAAUUAUUGCUAUCAUAUCAUGCCAAUGCUAAUAGUUUCUUUGUCACAAAGCACGAACAGAUGCCCUGAAACUGAUUCAUCAUUUUUCUAUUAUAAUUAUUGAUGAAUAGAUGGUCAAUAAAAUUAAGUAGUAAUGGAAGCUAUGAUCCUGGCCCAUACUUAUCGUGUUAAUCAAGUUAUCUUGCUACAUAGGCAAUUCCAUGUAGUUCUGUUAACCAAAUGCCACAUCAACUCAUGUGGUUAAUCCUUCCUAUCACAAGGUAUUUGCUGCCGAUGUUGUUGUUCGGACCAGCUUUAGCUGGUAGUGGAUGACUCACAAUGUGAGGAAGGGGACGGUCCGGCCACGACCAGUAGACCAAUCUCGAGCUCCAGCGUGACGUUGACGAUGCCCAGCAAAAGGAACGCGCAAGCUUGCAAAGCACGGAAGAUGAUGGCCAUUGCAUAUGGUCAGGACAGGAUUUUGCAUAUGUUGCUGCUGAUCGAUGCGGUGCAAUACGUUACCACACCUGACCGACCUUAACGAGAUAGUUUCGGCGAACCAACGAUGCAGCGAUUAAGCGCAAAGUAUCUUUUUUUUUUCUCUCUUGAUUUUCCUCGUGUGCUGCUCCAGGCUAGGAUAUGUACAACACUGAGUGAGGCAUGCAUCUUGGAUAGGAUUUAAGAGCGAGGCAUGCAUGAAUGAAAGCAACUCGAUUCUGUUUUCCUUCGAAA